GUGGCCUUCUCUUUUGUCGCAACCGUUCUUUUUGUGGUAUAAUGGUGAUGUCACUUGUUUGUUGCAUCUAAUAAUCUGCAUGCAGGAUGGGUUGAAAUUAAUAGCUGUAACUAUGAUGAUACUCCUCUAGUAUGUAACACCGAUCAAUAUAUCAUCAAAAAUCAAUUGACAUAUGUGCAUGGGUAGCCAUCACAUAAAAACACGAUAAAUGAUAAUACUACCAUUUCUGAUGCAUACAUGUAUGCUCAGAUAAUGCAUGUAUAUUAGCUUAUUAG
RNAcentral lists this long non-coding RNA (275 nucleotides) under Elaeis guineensis (African oil palm). RNAcentral's name for it is "long non-coding RNA (EGUI_LNC021766)". Lineage: Eukaryota; Viridiplantae; Streptophyta; Magnoliopsida; Arecales; Arecaceae. The record is from RNAcentral.